Molecule: ribosomal RNA, 254 nt
Filed under: uncultured bacterium
Lineage: Bacteria
Description: partial 16S ribosomal RNA
Rfam family: Bacterial small subunit ribosomal RNA
Source: RNAcentral
UACGUAGGGUGCAAGCGUUAAUCGGAAUUACUGGGCGUAAAGCGUGCGCAGGCGGCUAUGCAAGACAGAUGUGAAAUCCCCGGGCUUAACCUGGGAACUGCAUUUGUGACUGCAUGGCUAGAGUACGGGUAGAGGGGGAUGGAAUUCCGCGUGUAGCAGUGAAAUGCGUAGAUAUGCGGAGGAACACCGAUGGCGAAGGCAAUCCCCUGGACCUGUACUGACGCUCAUGCACGAAAGCGUGGGGAGCAAACAGG